ACUCAAAUGAAUUGACGGGGGCCCGCACAAGCAGCGGAGCAUGUGGUUUAAUUCGAAGCAACGCGAAGAACCUUACCUAGACUUGACAUCUCCUGAAUUACCUUUAAUCGGGGAAGUCCCUUCGGGGACAGGAAGACAGGUGGUGCAUGGUUGUCGUCAGCUCGUGUCGUGAGAUGUUGGGUUAAGUCCCGCAACGAGCGCAACCCUUAUUGUUAGUUGCUACCAUUUAGUUGAGCACUCUAGCGAGACUGCCCGGGUUAACCGGGAGGAAGGUGGGGAUGACGUCAAAUCAUCAUGCCCCUUAUGUCUAGGGCUACACACGUGCUACAAUGGCCGGUACAAAGAGACGCGAUACCGCGAGGUGGAGCCAAACUAUAAAACCGGUCUCAGUUCGGAUUGUAGGCUGAAACUCGCCUACAUGAAGCUGGAGUUGCUAGUAAUCGCGAAUCAGAAUGUCGCGGUGAAUACGUUCCCGGGCCUUGUACACACCGCCCGU
RNAcentral lists this ribosomal RNA (496 nucleotides) under uncultured bacterium. RNAcentral's name for it is "partial 16S ribosomal RNA". It matches the Rfam family "Bacterial small subunit ribosomal RNA", at positions 899 to 1397 of the family's 1533-position model. The record is from RNAcentral.